GCGGCGCGCCUAACACAUGCAAGUCGAGCGAGAAGGAAGCAAUUCCUGUAAAGCGGCGCACGGGUGAGUAACACGUAGGUAAUCUACCUCGAAGUGGUGGAUAACCUUCCGAAAGGAGGGCUAAUACAGCAUGAGACCACGGUUUCGAAAGAGAUUGAGGUCAAAGCGGGCCACUAUACAUAAGCUCGCGCUUCGAGAUGAGCCUGCGGCCCAUCAUGGUAGUUGGUAGGGUAAUGGCCUACCAAGCCGAAGACGGGUAGCUGGUCUGAGAGGAUGAUCAGCCACACUGGGACUGAGACACGGUCCAGACUCCUACGGGAGGCAGCAGUGGGGAAUAUUGCGCAAUGGGGGCAACCCUGACGCAGCAAUACCGCGUGAGUGAAGAAGGCCUUCGGGUUGUAAAGCUCUUUCAGUUGAGAAGAAAAAGUCGUGACUAAUAAUCAUGAUCCAUGACGGUAUCAACAGAAGAAGCACCGGCUAACUACGUG
This 488-nucleotide ribosomal RNA is filed under the name uncultured bacterium. RNAcentral's name for it is "bacterial SSU rRNA". It matches the Rfam family "Bacterial small subunit ribosomal RNA", at positions 39 to 507 of the family's 1533-position model. The record is from RNAcentral.